UGGCAUAUGGAGGUUCCCAGGCUAGGGGUCAAACCAGAGCUGUAGCUGCCACAGCAAUGCCAGAUCUGAGCCACAGCCACAGCAAUGCCAGAUCUGAGCUGCGUCUGUGACCUACACCACAGCUCAGGGAAACGCUGGAUCCUUAACCCACUGAGCGAGGCCAGGGAUCGUUUCCACUGCGCCACGAUGGCAACUCUAAAUCAUGACAUUCUUGUACCUAAACUCUUUCAUGGAUGCUGCACAAUUCAUAAUGCAUUGAAACUUUUUAGCAGGGCACAUCCAAGUCCUUCUUGUCCUGCAUGCCUCAGCCUUUAGUUCCUUUCACUGCCAUCACACCCAAUGCUCCUAUGAAACCACAAGUGCAGUUCCCCAACGGUACUGUGUGAUCCUCGCCUACUCCUUGUUCAAGACUCAACUAAAGUACUCAAUGGAAGGCCUUCUCUGAGCAGAUCCCCCAGGAUGGUUGGGUGCCUCUCCAGUGUUAAGUCAUAUCAAUAUCUGCCUAACUCAGUCUGACUUAACACUUACCACAUUUCAUUGUUGUUUGUUUGUUUUUGUCUCCUCAAGGAUGAAUGAAAUAAAUGAAAGACACUAAAUCCUCCUCCCAGCCAAGAUGUGGGCUUUUUUUUGGACCAGUUGGGUGUUUUAAAAUUAAAAGUUUGGAUUAGGAUGCAAGUAAACUAAAUUUACACAUCUAUGUUACCUGUCUGACUUCUGAAGCAUUUCUGAUAGCCAUCAGCCUCCUAAACCAGAAAUAGGGGCUCUCAUCUUUGAAUCUCCAGUAUUCAAGACAGUGCCAGGCACAAACUGGAGCUGAAAAAAAAUGUAUGGAAUCAAGGGAGGAUACAAUUCUCUCCUCACAUGGGUGAAGAAGCUGAGGUUCUACUUUUUUUUCCUGCAUCUUUGACAUGCAGAAGUCCUAGGCCAGGGAUGGAACCCUUGCCUCAGCAUUGAUAAGCUGGAUACUUAACCCACUGAGCCACCAGGGAACUCUGAAGGUUUUACUUUUGAUGAGCAUGGGCAGUAAAACUGCCCCAGGAGGUGGGCCCAGAAUCAGGAGCACAAUGCUGAUUGGCCUAAGUCUGUGGUUGACUUAGGAACAGUCUGGCCAAUAAGAUGUCAGGGAAAGUCUGGGGGAUUCUAGGAAAAGUUUCCUCCCAUAAAAAGGGGGAGGCCAGCACUAGUUUUUCAUUCCUAUAAAUAAGACUUGUAAUUUACUGUAAUUUUCUGAAGACAGAUAAAAUCUGUCUACCAUGCCAUCAUUUCACAUUAUCACUGUAGAAAUUCUAGUUCCUUGCUAAGAUGGAAAUAAAGUCAAAUUUGCCCAAGCUUUCUACCACUUAAUAACCACCUGAUGACACAGUGUGAGCUCGGAGAAAGGCACAGUUUUAAAAGAAUUGCUAGAACUUUAACUGGCAGAAUAAUAUUGAUCCAGGAAUGACAUUUUUUUUCAUUUUUAGACUGUUUUUGAGUAUAUUGCCUCCUUUUUUUUUUUCUUUUUAGGGCCAUACCUGUGGCAUAUGGAAGCUUCCAGGCUAGGGGUCGAAUUGGAGCUACAGCUGCUGGCCUACACCACAAUCACAGCAACUUGGGAUCCAAGCCUCGUCUGUGACCUACACUACAGCUCAUGGCAACACCAGAUCCUUAACCCACUGAGAGAGGCCAGGGAUCGAACCCACAUCCUCAUGGAUCCUGGUUGGGUUCGUUAACCACUGAGACACUAAGGGCACUCUCUAUAGUGCCUUUCAUAUUUCUUUCUUCAGUGCCCUAGGGAGCAGAGCUGCCACAGGGAGUCAGAGGCCACCAAAAACAAACAAAAACUGCUCUGGUGAAUAAUGAUGUAACGGUGAGAGGCUGCAGACCCCUUCAUCAGAGCCUCUCAAUUUUCUUUCUUCAUAAUUGAGCAGCUACUACACAGCAGGCACCAAGCUAAGAACCAAGAAUACGGUCUUGAGCAAAAACAAAGCCCGUGUCCUUAUCUAGAUUACAGAAAGGCCUUGCACAUAAUCACAACAGGGAAAGUGUAGGUGCACCCCAGGAAGUACGAAAAUGUUAAGACUCCCAGUACCAUGAUGGCACACACCAGGGUGACCUGUCUUAGUCUUAAACUGUAGCAGAUGAUAUUUAAGCUGAAUUCUGAUUUUUGAAUAGAGGGUAACUAACGAGGAGGUGGAUGUGGAGGAGAUAUUCUUAGCCUCUCUUACAUCGUAAACAUGGUAGGCACUUCAUAAACACUCGCUGGCUGAAAGAGUGAAUUGACCCUGUCCCUCUCAAGGGAGCAAAUCAAGUGGAAGGAAGAUGAUUCACUUUAAGAAACUACUGGAGAGGGUUUUGGUCAACCCCAUCCUUUUUACUGUUUUUCUAUUUGGGUCAAUUUUCUUCCCAGUGAUGGAGUAUUUUCUACUGAAUACAACUGUUGCCUAUUUUAGCUUCUUGUUGUUGGGUUUUGUGGAUAUCUAUCUAUCUAUCUAUCUAUCUAUCUAUCUAUCUAUCUAUCUAUAUAUAUAUAUAUAUUUUUUUUUUUUUUUGGUCAACAGAGGUAGAAAAAUAUAGCAUCAGCG
RNAcentral lists this long non-coding RNA (2561 nucleotides) under Sus scrofa (pig). RNAcentral describes it as "lncRNA (ENSSSCG00000053106.1)". The record is from RNAcentral. Lineage: Eukaryota; Metazoa; Chordata; Mammalia; Artiodactyla; Suidae.